CUACGACGUGUGGUUUCCAUAGUGAGAACCAUGCCUCGAGAAUGUGCUGCACCCGACUGCCUCGAAAAGAUGGGAAAAGAGGAUAAUUUUUAUGUCCUUGUUGUCCUUGUGCAAUGUUUUGAAGCAGUUUUUCCUUAGUUCCAUCACUGAGAAUAAAGAUACAUUAUUAAAAUUAUAAAAUAUACUUUUAACAAAUUCAUUAUGCUUUCACUUUUUUCAUGGAUUAUUUUAGUAGUUGUUUCCAACAUCUCAUGCCAUACAUUAAAAAAAAUUACAUAAAUAUGUCCCUGUUCUCAACUGACGAAAAACAUUUUUUUCUGAAUUAAGGUCUUUAACGGCAGCGACUGAUGAUUUACUGACUGUGACAAUGAAUAUACAGACAUAUAAAGGAAUAAUGCAUGUUAUCAUUAAUUCACACAACAUUUUGAACUUCUUGUGACUGUACUAGAUUCUGUGGUCUGGCGACAACAGUGACUGUGCCAUGUACAUGUCCUCCAUGUGUGAGUGUCAAGACCCUGGGUCAGGCCGUGUGAUGGACAGGAGAGUGCUAUACUUUUGUAAUAACACUCUUCCCGGAGCAAGUCGUCCUGUUGAAUAUCACGCCGCAAAGACUCUUUUUGACCGGAUCGCCCGGUACAGGUAAAACUGUGGUGCUGUUGAUGAUGGCCAUACAGUGGUUGCAAUGUGGUCACCACGUCUACAUUGUGAGUGUCUGGAGAUGCAGUGACGCAGUCUGCACCAUCUGUAUCACUUGUUGCUGCACACAAUAAACACACAACAGUCAGAAGGUGUAUCACCCAAUCAUCUUCACCUCCUGAAGUAUAAUUUUCAUGACCGUAAAGAAGAAGAGAAGAACGUCAACGACUUCUCACAGGCGGCGAGCGGAGGGUCGUUGUACAUCAUCACUGAUGACGUGAUGUGAGUAGUACAGCGUGUGAUGUGAUGAUAGACAUCAAGGGAUCUUUUAUCUCAUAAUCACCACCAGGUGUUACACAGUAUUUCCUCAAUGGUUGUGACACCUGAUGAAGGUGUUGUAAUGUAACUAAACGAAGAUUUGUCCUGUUUCACAGUUACACAAAUUGUGGCAUCAUUUUUACGUCAUUUGCACAUCGUGUAUUCGAGCUCAUUUAUUUAUUUAUUAUUCACUCAAUCACAUAUUCUAAAUUGACACCAGCAGCAUCUUCAGCAGCUGCUACUGACAGUAAGGUUUUAUGUGAACUUCCACUGAUUAUAUUUAGAGAAUUAGAUGUGCUUUCUUGUUGUGGGUUUUCAUUAAGAGACCUACAAUUAUCAGCGCUAAGAGACUUCGCUUUGCUUUUAGGGGCCACCAUCAGACGGUCUGUUCCUGCAUCACCAUCAUCCGCACCAGCAACGACUCUUACCAUAUCAACUCACCCAUUGUACGUGCCAUCUUCAGAAGAUUCACAGAUGGGAUUUUUAUAUAUGUAUAAGGAGACUGUCGCUGAUCGAAACAUAUUUUUGUUUCAGGUUUUGUAUCUGAGCUAUUUUGGUGGCCGCACACCAAAAGAGGCACUGUAAAGUCUGCUGAAGCAUCUGCUUGCUCCAAAACUAUUUUAUACAGCUUGGAAGGGAGGAAGGAAAAACGAAGAUUUAACACCUUGCAACAUUUAAAAGCCACAAUUUAUGAGCCCAUACUGAAACGAUACAACGAUGUCACAAUGGCCACUUUGGACAAGUACACAGGGGAAUGGCUGGCCAUAUCAGGUGCAUGUGAGAAAUGACAAUGGCCACGCUAUCGACACUGUUGCUGGCGCUCACGCUGAUGGUUUAUGCGAAUGCUGAGGUUGGCGUUUAUCAGGAGAUUAUCGAAAUCAAUGCAAGGCUUGAUCGUCUUGAACGACACGUCUUUUUUAUGGCGACUACCAGUUUGACGACGCUUCCGAGUGGCGCUCUAGUCUUUGGCGAAAUCCGGGCCAACACAGGCGGCGCCUACAACCCAGCAACCGGCGUCUUCAC
RNA transcript from Pomacea canaliculata, 1977 nucleotides. It is a transcript of the gene named EMILIN-1-like, with no coding region annotated. The record is from RefSeq and is a predicted model, not a curated record. The transcript is spliced from 4 exons. Lineage: Eukaryota; Metazoa; Mollusca; Gastropoda; Architaenioglossa; Ampullariidae.